UUCUAUGGUGGGCCGUGCGGGGCAGGCUUCGGCCUGGCCGGCGUCCUUGGUUGCCGGUUUGUCACCCCCGUACGGUCCGCCACCCAA
RNAcentral lists this non-coding RNA (87 nucleotides) under Pseudomonas sp. BAY1663. Lineage: Bacteria; Pseudomonadati; Pseudomonadota; Gammaproteobacteria; Pseudomonadales; Pseudomonadaceae. The record is from RNAcentral.